RNAcentral lists this ribosomal RNA (370 nucleotides) under uncultured organism. RNAcentral's name for it is "bacterial SSU rRNA". It matches the Rfam family "Bacterial small subunit ribosomal RNA", at positions 526 to 896 of the family's 1533-position model. The record is from RNAcentral.
CGAGAGGCCCAAACGUUAUUCGGAAUUACUGGGCUUAAAGAGUUCGUAGGCGGCAUGACAAGUAGGGUGUGAAAGCCCUCGGCUCAACCGAGGAAUUGCGCUCUAAACUGUCGUGCUUGAGGAACCUAGAGGUGAGCAGAACAGAUGGUGGAGCGGUGAAAUGCGUUGAUAUCAUCUGGAAUACCGGAGGCGAAGGCGGCUCACUGGGAGUUUUCUGACGCUGAGGAACGAAAGCCAGGGUAGCGAACGGGAUUAGAUACCCCGGUAGUCCUGGCCGUAAACGAUGAGCACUAGGCCGGAGCCCUGCACAGGGUUUCGGCCGUAGCUAAAGUGUUAAGUGCUCCGCCUGGGGAGUAUGGUCGCAAGGCUG